AAACUAAGGCAGGCGAUCGCGUCCGCCAGCCGGCGGAUGAGGAAAGUCCGAACUCCACAGGGCAGGGCGCCUCAUAACAUGAGGGAGGUGUGAGCCUACGGAAAGUGCCACAGAAAACAUACCGUCCCGCUAAAGCGGGACAAGGGUGAAAAGGUGGGGUAAGAGCCCACCGGUUCUCUGGUAACAGAGAAUGCCUGGUAAACCCCGCCCGGAGCAAGACCAAAUAAGAGAAGAGAAGUUGCCCGCUUCGUUUGAUUCUCGGGUAGGUCGCUUGAGGUUCUGAGUGAUCAGGAUCCCAGAGAAAUGAUCGUCCACGACAGAAUUCGGCUUAUCGCUUUGGUUUGGAU
RNAcentral lists this RNase P RNA (347 nucleotides) under bacterium. RNAcentral describes it as "RNase P RNA component class A". It matches the Rfam family "Bacterial RNase P class A". From Rfam's summary of the family: Ribonuclease P (RNase P) is a ubiquitous endoribonuclease, found in archaea, bacteria and eukarya as well as chloroplasts and mitochondria. Its best characterised activity is the generation of mature 5'-ends of tRNAs by cleaving the 5'-leader elements of precursor-tRNAs. The record is from RNAcentral.